Molecule: non-coding RNA, 113 nt
Filed under: chicken gut metagenome
Source: RNAcentral
GUAGCAGACCUACCGCAGGCGUCAUUCAGGUGAAGCCUGCAAACCACUCUAAGGUGCUGUAUUCAAAAGAUAUGGUAUUGAGCAUUAGAGAAAAGGCAACAUGAGUUGUCAGG